This 253-nucleotide ribosomal RNA is filed under the name uncultured bacterium. Its description in RNAcentral is "partial 16S ribosomal RNA". It matches the Rfam family "Bacterial small subunit ribosomal RNA", at positions 524 to 776 of the family's 1533-position model. The record is from RNAcentral.
UACGUAGGGGGCAAGCGUUGUCCGGAAUCAUUGGGCGUAAAGCGCGCGUAGGCGGCCCGGUAAGUCCGCUGUAAAAGUCAAAGGCUCAACCUUUGAAUGCCGGUGGAUACUGUCGGGCUAGAGUCCGGAAGAGGCGAGUGGAAUUCCUGGUGUAGCGGUGGAAUGCGCAGAUAUCAGGAGGAACACCAAUAGCGAAGGCAGCUCGCUGGGACGGUACUGACGCUGAGACGCGAAAGCGUGGGGAGCGAACAGG